AAACGUAGGAGGCGAGCGUUAUCCGGAGUUACUGGGCGUAAAGGGCGUGUAGGCGGCCUUCUAAGUGGGUUGUGAAAGCGACUGGCUCAACCGGUCGAGGCCGACCCAGAUUGGGAAGCUAGAGGGCGGUAGAGGGGUGUGGAAUUCCGGGUGUAGUGGUGAAAUGCGUAGAGAUCCGGAGGAACACCAGAGGCGAAGGCGACACUCUAGGCCGCACCUGACGCUGAGACGCGACAGCACGGGGAGC
Molecule: ribosomal RNA, 247 nt
Filed under: uncultured bacterium
Lineage: Bacteria
Description: partial 16S ribosomal RNA
Rfam family: Bacterial small subunit ribosomal RNA
Source: RNAcentral